This is a long non-coding RNA of Poeciliopsis prolifica (blackstripe livebearer), 625 nucleotides long. RefSeq lists it as uncharacterized. Lineage: Eukaryota; Metazoa; Chordata; Actinopteri; Cyprinodontiformes; Poeciliidae. The transcript has 5 exons. The record is from RefSeq and is a predicted model, not a curated record.
UCCCAGGACACGUCGUGACGUCACGCUCUCCAGAGCUCCGCCCACUCCGCCAUGAUGGACCAACGUCUACACGACAGCUUUUGACGAGGAAAGACUCGGCGGCUGUGGAUGGCGGCCGUCAAUCGUAACGACUGGCGUCACCGUGGAUUUACAGCGAUCACUUUUGACAAGUUGCAGGCGGGCGGCGGGUUUUUUCACGGUGGCAGACCCUUCUGUUGGCGCCGUAAAGCACAGCGGUGUGUUCAGCUGUGACUGGGACUCAUUAGAUGAGGAGAAUGUCCGUCAUGGUGCCUGGCUGUCUGCGUGUUGGUCAUCCAGCAGGGGACUGAGGAAGAAAGGAAAGGACCUCACUUGGAAGAGGAUCAGCGAGGAAGAUGAAAUGUCAGAUUCGCAGUGACCACUGAAGGUAUAAUUGAUACCCAGGUGGUUCGGCGAUGAAUCGGCUGAACUGUGGAGGCUUUCAGUCUCCUGAGCGCAGCCGAGUUUCAUCGAGUCCCUCCGUCUCCGUACCUUCUGUCAGAUUGCCCUGUGGAAACGGCGGCCCUGCUCAUAUAACUUCAUUACUUUUUAAUGCAGCUAUAAUUACUCCAGCAUGUUGUAAUUGGACAGAGAUAUGAGAACAAUA